GUGGGGAAUAUUGGACAAUGGGCGCAAGCCUGAUCCAGCCAUGCCGCGUGAGUGAUGAAGGCCUUCGGGUUGUAAAGCUCUUUAGUCCACGAAUAUAAGGACUGUAGGGGAAGAAUAAGCCCCGGCUAACUUCGUGCCAGCAGCCGCGGUAAUACGAAGGGGGCGAGCGUUAUUCGGAAUCACUGGGCGUAAAGCGUGCGUAGGCUGUUUUGUAAGUCAGAAGUGAAAGCCCAGGGCUUAACCCUGGAAUUGCUUUUGAAACUACAAGACUCGAAUUCGGGAGAGGAUAGCGGAAUUGUCAGUGUAGCAGUGAAAUGCGUAGAUAUUGACAGGAACACCAGUGGCGCAAGCGGCUAUCUGGACCGAUAUUGACGCUGAGGCACGAAAGCGUGGGGAGCAAACAGGAUUAGAAACCCGGGUAGUCC
Molecule: ribosomal RNA, 425 nt
Filed under: uncultured bacterium
Lineage: Bacteria
Description: partial 16S ribosomal RNA
Rfam family: Bacterial small subunit ribosomal RNA
Source: RNAcentral